GUUAAAGUAAACUAUAUAGGUUAUUGGGUUCAUACCCCGAAUGAAGAACUUAGCUUCUCUUUAAUA
This 66-nucleotide transfer RNA is filed under the name Scrobicularia plana. RNAcentral's name for it is "tRNA-Met". Lineage: Eukaryota; Metazoa; Mollusca; Bivalvia; Cardiida; Scrobiculariidae. The record is from RNAcentral.